CUUUGGUUCAAUCUCCGAUCAGUUAAUUAGUAGAAAUGGAUCACCAUGAAGAUGAGUACCGUGCUACAGGUGAACCACAGGCCAAGCAAGAGGAUGAGGAAGCUCUGGCUCGACUUGAGGAAAUGAAGAAAUCGGUUGAGGCAAAAGUUGCUCUUCUCCAAAGCAAUUUGAAUCCUGAAAGGCCUGAUUCAGGAUUCCUCAGAACACUGGAUUCAAGCAUUAAGCGAAAUACGGCAGUUAUUAAAAAAUUAAAGCAGAUAAAUGAAGAGCAGAGGGAAGGGCUAAUGGAUGAGUUGCGAAAUGUAAACCUUAGCAAAUUUGUUAGUGAAGCCGUGACAGCUAUUUGUGAUGCAAAGCUUAGAACUUCUGACUUACAAGCAGCAGUUCAGAUCUGCUCUUUGCUUCAUCAAAGGUACAAAGACUUUUCACCAAGUCUGGUACAAGGGCUUUUGAAGGUCUUUUUUCCUGGAAAAUCAGGGGAAGACUUGGAAGUGGACAGGAACUCAAAGGCUAUGAAGAAGCGGAGCACCUUGAAACUGCUUUUGGAACUUUACUUUGUUGGAGUUAUAGAAGACAGCAGUAUUUUCAUCAAUAUCAUUAAGGAUCUU
Molecule: unclassified non-coding RNA, 608 nt
Filed under: Hevea brasiliensis (rubber tree)
Lineage: Eukaryota; Viridiplantae; Streptophyta; Magnoliopsida; Malpighiales; Euphorbiaceae
Source: RNAcentral